GCUAUCAGCGACAAACGUAAAACGUGCGAUAUCGUAUUGUAGUAAUUUUACAGAGAUAUAUGCGUUAGGAGAAGUUUAAUUUAUGAUAUACAUAGGUAUAUGUAGUUAUGUACAGGGUGUUUCAUUUGUCUUGUCCACUUUGUAUCUUUGUUACUUUUGCAUAUGCAAAAAAGUGUAUGGAGGUAAAAGUUGUUUAAUCUAGAAAUUUAAGUUAUGAUAAACAUAGGUAUAUGUAGUUAUGUACAGGGUGUUUCAUUUAUAUUGUACACUUUAUAUCUUUGUUACUUUUGCAUAUGCAAAAAAGUGUAUGGAGGUAAAAGUUGUUUAAUCUAGAAAUUUAAGUUAUACAUAGGUAUAUGUAGUUAUGUACAGGGUGUUUCGUUUAUCUUGUCUACUUUAGUAUCUUUGUUACUUUUGCAUAUACAAAAAAAUGUAUGGAGGUAAAAGAUGUUUAGUUCAGAACGAGGCAUAUUGCGGUACAUGUCUUUUUCCCUUGCUGGUUAUUUUUUUCUUCCUUUAUUUUUUAUUCUUUUAAGUUUCCAAGGUCAUAGACGAUUUUGCAAUAACAACGACACAUCUUUAUGCGAUGUAUUUCAAACGUGUAGAUAUGUCGACCUAGGAAUAACCUCGAGCGGAGAAUUCAUGAUAAAUCGAAGGGAAAUGAGAAAUCGAAUUAUUUAUUUGUUUUUGCCCCAAAUUUUCAUCAUUUUCCUAGAAAUAGAAAAAAUAUUGUAGAACCGCGUGCAUCCCCGGGCAAGGAAGUCGAAAUUAAGCGAAACGAGAUAAUAAAAGUAAAAAAUGUUCAGCUAUCAGAGGCAAGCCUUGCUCUCUUGGUCACUUCAUUUGGAAAUUCGUUACCUCUUCUACCAAAUUCGCAAAGCUGUGCGUGGGUGGCUAUGCAAAUUGGAAUCCAGGAUCCUAGAAGUAUUUGCCUAUGCAGUAUUUCGAGACUGAGAGUGACCUUUCACCACGGAAUAUGGAAUGAGAAGGAGUUUUUAGUGGGUAGUCCGCCCAACAUCUUAGACAGUGUCAUAUAGCUAGUGAUUGGAUCGAUACCGAAAUUACGUAUUGAUAAUACUCAAUCAAUUCGGUACCAAAGUACUCCAUAUAAGACAUCGAAAUUUUAGAUAUCUCUCGGUAUGACGCGGUAGUUAGGUUGCGAAAAAGCGCCAUGUCGUGCGAAAUCGUGUUACACGAAACGAAGAAUUAACGGAAAAUUGGUGAUUAGAUUCCAAAAUCAAUUAAAAAUAAAUUAAUUUAAAGCAUUACGUAUUGAUAU
Molecule: long non-coding RNA, 1279 nt
Organism: Bombus huntii
Lineage: Eukaryota; Metazoa; Arthropoda; Insecta; Hymenoptera; Apidae
Exons: 3
Source: RefSeq, a predicted model, not a curated record